AGUCUUCUACUUUUUGAGUCUUUAAAUUUGUCGUGGUCUAAGAAAGGAUCCUCAAGAUGGAUCUGAUCUGACAAGCAAACAUCUCAUUUAAAUUUCAAUAGGUCACAGCUUGUGCUUGAUCUAGUAAAGUCUUCAAAAAGAGUUAUUGAAGGUGAAUGUUAAAAACAAAUCACUUUUUAUGAAGAAUAGUGACUAAAAAUCCGUGGUCUAAAUAAACUGCGUACCCCGGUAGUCAUUUUCCUCUCUAAGGAAAUAUGUCCAAUGAAUACCCUACUGUGUAUUUUGGGGCAAGAAAUUGGGUGAUAAGACGGUGUGAUAUAGCCUUUUUUAUACCCUCUUUUAAGUGUAGAAGCUUAAGUUCAUCUAGCUAAGUUUUGAUAAUCUCAAAAUUUGUUAAAUAGUACUUCUCUUGUUUUGAAGUGAUUAGUUUGUUACAGGUUUUCUAGUUUAGGGCUAGGAUAUAGGAAUGGGCAGUAAAUUGGGAUUUGAAAUGGGAAGGAACAGUGUUAGUUCUAAACCAUCCCAGGUCUUUCUCUGCUCCCACCCCCAAUCCCUACUUUUAAAAAACUUCUCACUCCUAGUUCAAAUAAAGAUUAUAAGAGGUAAGGCAUUUCUAACCAUCAAAACCACACACUUUUUUGUUUCAUGUUAAAAGUUCCUGAGUCUCCUUUAAACAUAUUGUAAGUUUUUGUCCUUUAGUCUUUGGAAAGUCAUUACUUCUGUUUAGAGUGAAUACCACCAAAAGUUGGGUACGGUAGGCACUAGCUAAACUUUGGUCACCAUCAUGCCUGUUUAACAGUAAGAGAGGAUUCAGCGAGGACAGGGCUGAGUUACUAUUUGAGAGUCAUUUAUGUGUGCUUCUUGUCGUAGGUGCCAUGUCCUGGUUAGAAACCAUUUAAAAUCACCAAACUGGAAACUACCAGUCACCUUUUAAGGCUGUCAUAAAAAUAAGAUUAACUUUAUUUUUAUGACAUCCUUAAAAGACCAAAUUCUGUUUUAAAACUAACCAAUGUAAAAAGUCUGUUUUCAGAGUUGUAAGUGGAAAUGUAAAAUAAAGUCAAAUUAAAAAUAAUCCAUGUAUUACAAAUUAAAGAUAAUUUAUGUAUUACAUUUCCUGAACAGAUUUAAUUUUGAGCUCUGUGUGCAAGGCACCAAUGGGAGUGGUUGCUAUAGAUCUUUUAUGGAAUACAGGUUUCAGAUUGUUAUUUGCUUGUAAAUAUACACAUUAAAACCUACUUUUAGGACUCCUACUUUAAAUUUUCCAGAGAAUUUUCUCACUUAUAAAAGAUACAUUUGUAACUGUUAUUCCUGUAGUACCAUAUCCCAGUUAAGUAGUUUGCAAUGAAGGUUAAGUACUACUUACUACUUUGAUAUGACUUCUGUAGCUACCA
This 1391-nucleotide long non-coding RNA is filed under the name Bos taurus (domestic cattle). RNAcentral describes it as "long non-coding RNA NONBTAT020110". The record is from RNAcentral. Lineage: Eukaryota; Metazoa; Chordata; Mammalia; Artiodactyla; Bovidae.